AACGUAGGUACCGAGCGUUAUCCGGAUUUACUGGGCGUAAAGCGCGUUCAGGCGGUUUGGCAAGUCGGGCAUGAAAUCUCUCGGCUCAACCGGGAGAGGUUGUCCGAUACUGCUGGACUUGAGGGCAGUAGAGGGUGGUGGAAUUCCGGGUGUAGUGGUGAAAUGCGUAGAUAUCGGGAGGAACACCAGUGGCGAAGGCGGUUACCUGGAGCUUUGCUGACGCUGAUGCGCGAAAGCGUGGGGAGCGAUCCGG
RNAcentral lists this ribosomal RNA (253 nucleotides) under uncultured bacterium. RNAcentral describes it as "partial 16S ribosomal RNA". It matches the Rfam family "Bacterial small subunit ribosomal RNA", at positions 524 to 776 of the family's 1533-position model. The record is from RNAcentral.